RNAcentral lists this ribosomal RNA (699 nucleotides) under Triticum aestivum (bread wheat). RNAcentral describes it as "partial small subunit ribosomal RNA". The record is from RNAcentral. Lineage: Eukaryota; Viridiplantae; Streptophyta; Magnoliopsida; Poales; Poaceae.
AUGGACGAGACUCCUGCCGAAGCAAGGCUUAGCGGGAUCAGGCAGGCUGUGCUCCUGCUUGAGAGGUCCCAUCCUUCGGCACCGCUACCGACGCUGGCCGGGUCUGAGUCCAAAGAGAGCUGCCGCAGCGGAGUCGAUGAGCAAAAGGAGGUUAACAAGAUUGUUGAUCGUCAGAUUCGGGUAUUCUUCAAUGUCCCUGGAAGUUCUGUUGCAGAAAUUGAUACACCGGAUUCUUUCUACAAACUUAGUGGUGAGGAGGUAAGGAAUGAGGCAAAGAUGAGGAGGGAAAGGCUGGAACAAUCUCGGUUGCUAAUUCCAAAGUCAUAUAAGGAGAAGCAGGCACUGGCUGCUCGACAGAAGUACAAACAAGCUGUCAUCCGAGUUCAGUUUCCUGAUGGAGUAAUUCUCCAGGGUGUAUUCCUUCCAGCGGAGGCUACUGGUUCACUAUAUGAGUUUGUCGCGGAUGCUUUGAAGCAGCCAGGUUUGGAAUUUGAUCUUAUCUGUCCAGCUGUUCCUAGGUCACGUGUGCUACCGCAUUCCCCAAAUACAGGAGAGCGGGCACGCACGUUGCAAGAUGAAGGCCUAGUACCUUCUGCUCUCCUCAAAUUCAAGCCCAAUGAGACUGAUUCUGUUGUGUUCACCGGCUUGCUUGACAAGCUUCUGGAGGCUAGUGAACCAUUUACAGCUGCAUCCUCUUGA